UCUCCGUAGGUGAACCUGCGGAGGGAUCAUUACAGAGUUCUCGCCCUCGCGGGUAGAUCUCCCACCCACUGUUAUCGUUACUGUGUUGCUUUGGCGGGCCGCCGGGCCCGCUCGGCCGCCGGCUCCGGCUGGCGCGCGCCCGCCAGAGGCCCAGCAAACUCUGAAUGUUAGUGUCGUCUGAGUACUAUAUAAUAGUUAAAACUUUCAACAACGGAUCUCUUGGUUCUG
Molecule: unclassified non-coding RNA, 228 nt
Filed under: plant metagenome
Description: partial contains small subunit ribosomal RNA, internal transcribed spacer 1, and 5.8S ribosomal RNA
Source: RNAcentral